Non-coding RNA from Triticum aestivum (bread wheat), 154 nucleotides. NCBI's taxonomy places the organism in Eukaryota, Viridiplantae, Streptophyta, Magnoliopsida, Poales, Poaceae. The record is from Rfam.
AAAAUACCCCCUCCGUUCCAAAAUUCUUAUCUUAGAUUUGUCUAGAUACGGAUGUAUCGUCUAGAUACGGAUGUAUCUAAUACUAAAAGGUGACUUGAUACAUCCGUAUUUAGACAAAUCUAAGAUAAGAAUUUUGGGACGGAGGGAGUAAUAA